GAUGAACGCUAGCUACAGGCUUAACACAUGCAAGUCGAGGGGCAGCAUGGUCCGGAGCAAUCCGGACCGAUGGCGACCCGGCGGAUGGGUGAGUAACGCGUAUCCAACCUGGCCCGCACUGGGGGAUAGCCUCCCGAAAGGGAAAUUAACACCCCAUAUUGUCGUGAUGAGGCAUCUUUUUGCGAUGAAAUUUUUUAGGUGCGGGAUGGGGAUGCGUCCCAUUAGGUUGUUGGCGGGGUAACGGCCCACCAAGCCUUCGAUGGGUAGGGGUUCUGAGAGGAAGGUCCCCCACAUUGGAACUGAGACACGGUCCAAACUCCUACGGGAGGCAGCAGUGAGGAAUAUUGGUCAAUGGGCGCGAGCCUGAACCAGCCAAGUAGCGUGCGGGAUGACGGCCCUACGGGUUGUAAACCGCUUUUGUCCGCGGGUAAAAGGCGCCACGUGUGGUGCGUAUGGAAAGUAGCGGGCGAAUAAGGAUCGGCUAAUUCCGUGCCAGCAGCCGCGGUAAUACGGAAGAUCCGAGCGUUAUCCGGAUUUAUUGGGUUUAAAGGGAGCGCAGGCGGGGCGCCAAGUCAGUUGUGAAAUGCCGCGGCUCAACCGUGGAGCUGCAGUUGAAACUGGUGCUCUUGAGUACACACAGGGACGGUGGAAUUCGUGGUGUAGCGGUGAAAUGCUUAGAUAUCACGAAGAACUCCGAUCGCGAAGGCAGCCGUCCGGGGUGUCACUGACGCUGAGGCUCGAAAGUGCGGGUAUCGAACAGGAUUAGAUACCCUGGUAGUCCGCACCGUAAACGAUGGAUACCCGUGGUCGGCGACACACAGUCGGUCACCAAGCGAAAGCGUUAAGUAUCCCACCUGGGGAGUACGCCGGCAACGGUGAAACUCAAAGGAAUUGACGGGGGCCCGCACAAGCGGAGGAACAUGUGGUUUAAUUCGAUGAUACGCGAGGAACCUUACCCGGGCUUGAAUUGCGCAGGAAUGUUGCCAGAGACGGCUUCAGCCUUUCGGGGCCUGCGUGAAGGUGCUGCAUGGUUGUCGUCAGCUCGUGCCGUGAGGUGUCGGCUUAAGUGCCAUAACGAGCGCAACCCCUCUCCUUCGGUUGCCAUCAGGUAAUGCUGGGCACUCCGUGGACACUGCCAUCGCAAGAUGUGAGGAAGGUGGGGACGACGUCAAAUCAGCACGGCCCUUACGUCCGGGGCUACACACGUGUUACAAUGGCGGUUACAGAGGGAUGCCACCCAGCGAUGGGGAGCCAAUCUCGAAAAGCCGCCUCAGUUCGGACUGGAGUCUGCAACCCGACUCCACGAAGCUGGAUUCGCUAGUAAUCGCGCAUCAGCCAUGGCGCGGUGAAUACGUUCCCGGGCCU
RNAcentral lists this ribosomal RNA (1365 nucleotides) under uncultured bacterium. Its description in RNAcentral is "bacterial SSU rRNA". It matches the Rfam family "Bacterial small subunit ribosomal RNA", at positions 28 to 1381 of the family's 1533-position model. The record is from RNAcentral.